GUAUUUCCGCGGGCGCUGAGCACUAGAGAGAGCGUCUUGUGGCUGCGGCCUGCCCCUCAGCCUCCUCCGCGCGGUUACCCCUGUACCCGCCGCCAUCCGUCCUGGCGCUCCGGAUGAGUCAAUGAGGGGCAGGGCCCGAGGAGUGGUCUUCCCAAGAACCCCUGGUGGCCUCCCAAGGCCGGUGCUGUGUACCUCCUCCCCGACAAAAGGGGAAACUGAGGCCCCGAGGGGAGUGGGAAGAGCCGGCUGGACGUCAGGCCCAGCCGCUGGUGCAGUGGUCCGUCCCCUCUGCCGGGGUGGGCCCCUCGGGUUUCGCGUGUCCUCGGGAAAGAGACUGGCGGGCCUCGUGGGCUGUGCGGCUAUCCUGGAGACAGAUGACAGCUCUCCCUUGGAUGGCUUUGCUGGUUCCGCACCAGCCAGCGCCCCCAUUUUUCCUGCAGCACCCUGAUCUGCACUCCCUGAGGGGCUCCCACUGUCCGCGGUGUGAGGAUGUCCCUGGAAAUUGGUCUUCUGUGACUUUCUUGAUGGGGGCAGAUGAGAUCUUUGUACUGCAUUAAGUGGAUAGCGCUCAGGUCCUUUGGGCUUGGCGCUUUGGCAAUCUCCAGGCAGCUCACUUUGGCCUCUGUUCCUGGAUCCCCUUUGCUCUUUUCUGCGCCUGCAUUCAUAGUCCACUGUGUGCAGAGGCAUGGGAGUUGUCAUGUUGGGAACAUGCUAGACCUCAGUAUCCUUGAGGGAUGCUGCCUUGGGUCUGGAAACUGUUAGAGGAAACCCCAAGAGGUGCAGGCACUGAGCCUCUCAGGACAAUGACCUGGGGUCCCAGCUCCCCUGGAGGGGCCUCCUCAUGAUUGUUUGGGGGUUGAUCACAGACCAAGAGUGACGAGUGAUGUCACCCUGUGACUCAUGGCUGGACCUUCUUGCCCCUAUUGUCUCAGCACAACAUUAUUCGACUUUUCCCUCAGCGUGGGUGGGCAGAGGAAAAGCCCUGUGGCUCUGGGGACUUGGGAUCCAGAGUUGAAGACCCUUCAGCUGGCUCUGCCCUGCCAGUGCCACAGAGUGCCAUGGCCCAGGAAGACAGGUUUUCUUCCAUCUAGGCCAGGCCAUCCAGUGGCCAUCCUCCGUGUCCUCCCGCCUCCUCCUGGUGUGACUUCUGAAAACCAAGAAUUUGUUCCUGUUGACUUUUUCUGUGCUAUGGACCAUUGUCCUCUCACCCACUCAAUAAAUCUUGAAACAUGC
RNAcentral lists this long non-coding RNA (1233 nucleotides) under Homo sapiens (human). RNAcentral describes it as "non-protein coding SNHG11:31". The record is from RNAcentral. Lineage: Eukaryota; Metazoa; Chordata; Mammalia; Primates; Hominidae.